UGGGGAAUAUUGCACAAUGGGCGCAAGCCUGAUGCAGCGACGCCGCGUGGGGGAUGACGGCCUUCGGGUUGUAAACCUCUUUCAGCAGGGACGAAGCGAAAGUGACGGUACCUGCAGAAGAAGCACCGGCCAACUACGUGCCAGCAGCCGCGGUAAUACGUAGGGUGCGAGCGUUGUCCGGAAUUACUGGGCGUAAAGAGCUCGUAGGUGGUUUGUCGCGUUGUUCGUGAAAACCGGGGGCUUAACCCUCGGCGUGCGGGCGAUACGGGCAGACUAGAGUACGGCAGGGGAGACUGGAAUUCCUGGUGUAGCGGUGGAAUGCGCAGAUAUCAGGAGGAACACCGGUGGCGAAGGCGGGUCUCUGGGCAGUAACUGACGCUGAGGAGCGAAAGCGUGGGGAGCGAACA
RNAcentral lists this ribosomal RNA (407 nucleotides) under uncultured bacterium. RNAcentral's name for it is "bacterial SSU rRNA". It matches the Rfam family "Bacterial small subunit ribosomal RNA", at positions 355 to 774 of the family's 1533-position model. The record is from RNAcentral.